Non-coding RNA from Nicotiana tabacum (common tobacco), 2616 nucleotides. The record is from RefSeq and is a predicted model, not a curated record. NCBI's taxonomy places the organism in Eukaryota, Viridiplantae, Streptophyta, Magnoliopsida, Solanales, Solanaceae.
GAUUCUUUUCCACAAAUUCUCUCUCUCCUUAUCGGAAGACGCUCUCUCCUAGCUAGUAAUAAAGGGUAAAGAAAAAGACUGCACGAAAAACAUUGAGAGAAGCUUAUAAGGUUAUACUAUAUAUUUAUCUUUCUGACCUAUCUUUCCUUAACCUUUCAACGCCAAAGCAAUCAUAAUGUCCUCUGAAUCAUCACCACCACCGAGACCAAAACCUCACCGCCGUCAUCAUUAUUUCCACCACCAAACAUCAUCAUUAUCAUCACCACCACUUUCUUGUUCGAGCACUAACAUCAGUAGUCGUCAGAAAAAACGUGGACAUCUUCUUUUUCUUCUUGAGGAUGAUGAUGACGAAGAAGAAGAUGAAGAAAUAAAGAGUACUGUUUUUAUUAAUUUUGACUAGCUCUAGCUUCUCAAGACAUUGAAAUGAAUGACUCUUCAAAAGUCACUUUUUUUCUUUGUGGGGGAAUCAAGCUUCGUGGUCCGAUCCGAUCCUUUAAUUUGCUAUUUCAAGCAAAGCACUCUCUUUAGUUUCAUUUCUACAACUAGGGUAUUAUUCUCUUUUCUAGCUUCUCAAAGUUAUAUAGAACCUGCCUACUCUAGAUUGAUCGAUCUUUUGGAUAACUGGUCAAGGAUUAUUGCUGGUUACUUUUGCUACUUCAAGAAAAGAAAGAAUACGGUUUUAUCAACUGCUGCAGCUCGGUUUGUAUUUAUUUGUAGUUUUUUUUUUUUAAUUGAAGUUUUUAGGUGUGGUACGUGUUGGUGCAUCUCAAUUAAAUGGAUCUGUUUUAUCCUAAUUGUAUCUCUUAACAACGUAUAGUUUCGGAUCCUUUGAAUGGUAUACUUUCUAAUGCUUUCGAUCUACUAUUGAGGCAGAGAUUCUAGCAUAGAUCUUCAAAAUAUUAUCAUGAGAAAUGAAGGUAUUAUCAAAUCUUACCUUCUUGUGAAAUUAGGGUUUGAUGAGCAGUAAUGGCACAAUCUCAUCACUAAUUUAGUUGAUUAAAGGUUGGUAGAAAAUUUUUUAGCUGCUACUGGAUACGUGUUACUCCUGUAUGAUUGCAUUUGCUUAGAGACAAAUUAAAAUAUAGGUGUGUAUAUAUAUAAGAGCAAUUACGCAUGCAUCCUUUGCAUCAUGAUAUUCUUGUACUUGUAAAAGAGUUUUUGGUUACUAGUCUUAUUUUAUUAGUAGUCGUGAUUGGUCUUAAGUAUCAAGGGACAAUAACAUAUUGGGUCUUAGUUUCCAUGAUAUAGAAGAACUGAAGAAGAAAUGAUCAGUUGGGGGUAUAUAUUGUUAGUAAUUAUUGGUGUAUUAGCGAACAUAGUGUACAUCCUUGGAAGUAAUGAUCAUGAGCUUGGCAGUAAUAUUAUUCUUGGACUUGCCAACAGCUAAUUAGUUGAGAUGGAAUGCCAAAUUAAAGGCAAAACAACAGAUCUGAACUUUCAGGUCUAGAGUUUUGCUUUACGUGUGGUUCACUUGGAUUGUUGAGGAUCAUAAUGAAAUUAAAAUAGUAAUAUAUGCAUAUGGAGUGCUAGUUUAAGUUAAUAUAAAAUUGUUGGAGGGAUUAGGGGUAUAAGUAGAGUAGUGUAUAUACUUAUGUUUACAUCAUUAUUUGUGUUCGGUGUUUACAUCAAAUAAUCGUAUGUUUAAAUGAUGUGAUAUACUGUAUAGUAAUGCUAGUAAUUAAUCAUGACUAAGUGAUGGUAAAAAUCUAGCACAUACCACUGGCGUACUGCUUUAAUUUCACGAGUGUAUCAGUACUCACUGGCUUACUGCUUUCGAGCAUCAAAUAAUCCAGUACACUGAGAAAGAAGCAUUCCUUACUUUUUUCGAUGUGGACGAAUUUCGUUCUCAUGUAUGCAAGUGUUUUCUAGUCUCUGAUUUCUCUGUCUUUUUUCUAAAAAGUUGAUGCCAUUAAAUUCAUAAAGUUUUGCCUUUUCUGAUACUGGAGAGUACCAAGCUUAAGUCCUUUGAUUUACAGUAUCCCUGGCUUCCUUUCUCUACUUCGUUCCCUUUUACAAGAUGCAAGUCCUUGUUAGCGCAUAUGCAUGACAAAUGAUCAGUAAAGUAUGUAGUCAAGAACAUUGGGCGGCGGAUCGGAUUCAAGACUUAUUAACUUGUUGAUUGAACCUUUAAAGUUUUUACACUAAAUUCAUUGUACUUUAUGGGGUUUAGAAUUUAGUAUCUGUGUGAAAUUUAGUGUUUCAGCCAUACAUAUCUAUGUUAUAUUGAGGUCGUAGUUGAUGAAUGUGAACCUUAAUUUGUCAGUUAGCAUGCAUGCAGCUGUGAAGGCUUCCAUUGUUUUUCCUCAAGAGUGUCCUCGAGUGAUGAAUUAAGUUUGUUCUAGUAAUAGAGCUAACUGAUUUUGAUCUUGUAGUGGGGAGGAAGCAAAUUUCCAAUUUGAUAUGUCCAUCCCUCAAAUGGUUCAUAUAUGGGUGGAAAACAAACUGAUAGUUGUAGCUGAAGAGGAAAUUAAUAAGCAUGCCAAGGAAGCUGCUUAGAAAGUUGCUCACAAGGUUUUAAGUGCUUCAGAUGCAACUCCACAUGCAUGUUUCUUUAGUUUGAUUUCUAUGCAACUGCGCAUGCGCUGAAAAAAUAAUAUUUAUACAAUUAUCAAAUCA